Molecule: ribosomal RNA, 793 nt
Filed under: uncultured bacterium
Lineage: Bacteria
Description: bacterial SSU rRNA
Rfam family: Bacterial small subunit ribosomal RNA
Source: RNAcentral
AGAGUUUGAUCAUGGCUCAGGACGAACGCUGGCGGCGUGCUUAACACAUGCAAGUCGAACGGUGAAGCCCAGCUUGCUGGGUGGAUGAGUGGCGAACGGGUGAGUAACACGUGAGUAACCUGCCCCCUUCUUCUGGAUAACUGCCCGAAAGGGUGGCUAAUACGGGAUAUUCUUUUCCUGCCGCAUGGUGGGUUUUGGAAAGGUUUUUUCUGGUGGGGGAUGGGCUCGCGGCCUAUCAGCUUGUUGGUGGGGUGAUGGCCUACCAAGGCGGUGACGGGUAGCCGGCCUGAGAGGGUGGACGGCCACACUGGGACUGAGACACGGCCCAGACUCCUACGGGAGGCAGCAGUGGGGAAUAUUGCACAAUGGGCGCAAGCCUGAUGCAGCGACGCCGCGUGAGGGAUGGAGGCCUUCGGGUUGUAAACCUCUUUCGCCAGUGAAGCAGGCCAUGCCCGUGUGGUGUGGUUGACGGUAGCUGGAUAAGAAGCGCCGGCUAACUACGUGCCAGCAGCCGCGGUAAUACGUAGGGCGCGAGCGUUGUCCGGAAUUAUUGGGCGUAAAGAGCUCGUAGGCGGCUGGUCGCGUCUGCCGUGAAAUCCCCUGGCUUAACUGGGGGCUUGCGGUGGGUACGGGCCGGCUUGAGUGCGGUAGGGGAGACUGGAACUCCUGGUGUAGCGGUGGAAUGCGCAGAUAUCAGGAAGAACACCGGUGGCGAAGGAGGGUCUCUGGGCCGUUACUGACGCUGAGGAGCGAAAGCGUGGGGAGCGAACAGGAUUAGAUACCCCGGUAGUCC